AAGGGGUACUAAUUAUUCAUAAGUAUAAAUAUACUUAACUGUACUUUAUUUUAUUACGAAAAUCAUAAAACCAGUUAAAACCGAGAAAUUCCCGAGAGAGUUCUUCGUGUUCUUGAGAUUCAAACGAGGAUUUGGACGCGUUAUCGGACACGGAUUUUGGCGUUCAAGGGCUCAAAUUGAAGGUUUUAACAAGUAGAAUCAUAAUCUAGCAUCAAAAUCAGUGCAGCAACAUCAGAGAAGCCAGGCGUAUUAGAGGGGGAAAGCAAGUGGAUAUAGAAUAGUAUAUCGAGCAGGAGCGAUUGAAAUUUGAAAUCGUCAGUAUAAGUGAAAGCAGAGAAGGUUGGUAACGAUGAUACUCAGGCUAGUGGUAAGGCCAGGAUUCCAGGCUGAGAGAUGGAGA
Daucus carota subsp. sativus is the source of this 400-nucleotide long non-coding RNA. RefSeq lists it as uncharacterized. The record is from RefSeq and is a predicted model, not a curated record. The transcript has 3 exons. Lineage: Eukaryota; Viridiplantae; Streptophyta; Magnoliopsida; Apiales; Apiaceae.